RNAcentral lists this ribosomal RNA (420 nucleotides) under uncultured Lactobacillus sp. RNAcentral describes it as "bacterial SSU rRNA". It matches the Rfam family "Bacterial small subunit ribosomal RNA", at positions 136 to 524 of the family's 1533-position model. Lineage: Bacteria; Bacillati; Bacillota; Bacilli; Lactobacillales; Lactobacillaceae. The record is from RNAcentral.
GUCUGGGGAUACCAUUUGGAAAACAGAUGCUAAUUACCGGAUAAAAGCUACUUUCGCAUGAAAGAAGUUUAAAAGGCGGGCGUAAAGCUGUCGCUAAAGGGAUGGGACCUGCGAUGCAUUUAGCUAGUUGGUAAGGUAACGGGCUUUACCAAGGCGAUGAUGCAUAGCCCCGAGUUGAGAGACUGAUCGGGCCACAUUGGGGACUGAGACACGGGCCCAAAACUCCUACGGGGAGGCAGCAGUAGGGAAUCUUCCACAAUGGACGAAAGUCUGAUGGAGCAACGCCGCGUGAGUGAAGAAGGUUUUCGGAUCGUAAAAGCUCUGUUGUUGGUGAAGAAGGAUAGAGGUAGUAACUGGCCUUUAUUUGACGGUAAUCAACCAGAAAGUCACGGCUAACUACGUGCCAGCAGCCGCGGUAAG